Molecule: long non-coding RNA, 1924 nt
Organism: Gopherus flavomarginatus (Mexican gopher tortoise)
Lineage: Eukaryota; Metazoa; Chordata; Testudines; Testudinidae
Exons: 4
Source: RefSeq, a predicted model, not a curated record
UCUCUUGGGACUGCAGUGCGCCCUGCUUACAUCUGCCUCCAGCCCAGUUCCCACCUUGUUCCUGAUCCGUUCUCAAUCCUCGUCUCACCUCCAAAGCCUGUGACCAGUCCUGGCUCUGACCCUGAUGCUGGCUCGACCCCUGGCUCUGGCAUUUGGUAUCUGACCUCAGCGCUGACCCUCAGCUUUGAUUCCUGAUUCUGACUCUGGCUUGAACCCUGGCUCUGGUAACUGGCUGUUGACUCUGGUGCCGACCCUUGGCCUUUGUUCACCAACCUGGACAACUGCUCUGCCCACUAGGCCAGACUGCCCAUGUCCCACUCCAUAACACUUAGGCCCUCGCUAAGUCAAGCCAUUCUAGGAGCUGUUUUGCAGCGUAUUGUGGGAGGACUUGUCUGUUCAAACCGAGCUCUAGUGCUGAAGGGCUCUUAGCCUGCCAUCACAGCAAACUCUAGUACCUCUGAUGCUGCGUGCACCUCACUCUGUUCCUUCCGGACGGCGCCAAGGCAGGGCUCCAGCCUUUUGGUGAAGAGGAAGAAACCCAAACCACGGCCACCUCUGAUGGAUGCAGUUCUGCACCAAUCCCGGCCAGGGAAGAGGGAUAGAAAGAAGCAUCCCUCGUUCAGAAGGGGAAAUAAAGAACAUUGGAACAUGCAGGCUUUGAAGUUAGCAUAGCCAAGAGGGUUCUGUUCUCUAAGCUGGAAUGUGACCUACACCAUGGCACGUAAGAACUGCCUAGAUGCGUGUGUGCCUGCAACGCACGGUCACAAUGCAAACUUGAGAAAACAAACACAAUCUGACCCAGGAUCUGCGUAGAGACAGUGAGGGCUUGACAGAGACAGGUUACACCUCCCCAGGCCUAGGAUGGGCUAGACUUUUCCCACCUAUGAGGAAUUGCCUGGUCAGGAAGAGAUUAAUGUCAUUGUCUUCUACCUGCAAUGCUUUGAGUGGCUUUUGAUGACUGGCUGGCUUGGCUGUAUAACUCCAAGGCAAGGAUGAAAGUCUGGGGGAUCCAGGGAGGGAAGGAGCUACCCUACUGCACACAUGGACGCUAGAGGCCCCGGCUGUCUUGCAGAAGGAAAUUGUGCCAUUCCGCUGGCCUGACCCCAUCUCAGAGGGCUCCACCAACUGAUUCCAUCCACUUCUGGGGGUCAGGCAGCCCUGGAAGGCGACUCACUAAACAACAGAGAUUCAUGCUACGCAUCUCACGCCACCACAACUGUGCUUCUCCAGGGGCGAAGUGGCGUGAUCAGAAGAUGUGAUGUUGGAUGAGCACAAAAGCCACAAGAAUGGCCCAGUAUUUGCAAGAGGUUCCAUUUGAAGAUUUGUUUCCUUUCCAAAAUAAAAACAGUGACUAGCGUGUGGAGAGUGUUGAUGGGAGGGGAGGGUCAUUUUUUGGUAAAUGGCCAAAAACCAAACAAACGCUUGGCCAGUAGUAAGACAAGCUGUGCAUCUCCCCUCUGAGCAGAAAGCACCAAGGUAAACAGAGCCAAAUCCAUUGGGGGGGGGGGUUGCAGUCUGCCUCUUAAAAUCCCCACUGUGAUUUCCACUGGCUAUGGGAUUAGUUUUCCCUUCCUGUUCUCUGGGGUUGUAUAGUUGUCAUGAACCCCACUUGGGUCACUGGUGGGAUUUCAGACCAUAAACAGCAUUAAUGCUUAAGCGCAAAGACUAAAUCCAACAGCUGGAAGCCGGGGCAGACUGAGUCUUUUAUGUGGACUAGUCACUGGAGGGUGACAAAAGCCCCGCAGCCUACAAGCACGGGUUACGCAGCAUUGCAGCAUGCUGCUACACAGAGACUGUGUCUAAUUUGUGUAUCCGUUUGUCAUGUGUCCUGGGACCCUAUGGAAUGAAAGACUCUAUUGGCUGAGUAAGUUCUUACUGUCCUGGCUGCUGCUGGGUGAGAUGUGUAUUAAAAAUAUGAAUUUGA